CGUGUAGGCGGUGUGGUAAGUCGGAUGUGAAAUCUCUAGGCUCAGCCUGGAAACUGCAUUCGAAACUGCCAUGCUUGAGUACCGGAGAGGGAAACGGAAUUCCUGGUGUAGGGGUGAAAUCUGUAGAUAUCAGGAAGAACACCGGUGGCGAAGGCGGUUUCCUGGCCGGAUACUGACGCUGAGGCGCGAAAGCUAGGGGAGCAAACA
RNAcentral lists this ribosomal RNA (207 nucleotides) under uncultured bacterium. Its description in RNAcentral is "partial 16S ribosomal RNA". It matches the Rfam family "Bacterial small subunit ribosomal RNA", at positions 568 to 774 of the family's 1533-position model. The record is from RNAcentral.